Molecule: ribosomal RNA, 253 nt
Filed under: uncultured bacterium
Lineage: Bacteria
Description: partial 16S ribosomal RNA
Rfam family: Bacterial small subunit ribosomal RNA
Source: RNAcentral
UACGAAGGGGGCUAGCGUUGCUCGGAAUCACUGGGCGUAAAGGGUGCGUAGGCGGGUCUUUAAGUCAGGGGUGAAAUCCUGGAGCUCAACUCCAGAACUGCCUUUGAUACUGAGGAUCUUGAGUUCGGGAGAGGUGAGUGGAACUGCGAGUGUAGAGGUGAAAUUCGUAGAUAUUCGCAAGAACACCAGUGGCGAAGGCGGCUCACUGGCCCGGUACUGACGCUGAGGCACGAAGGUCAGGGGAGCAAACGGG